GUAAGGAAUAUUGGACAAUGGACGCAAGUCUGAUCCAGCCAUGCCGCGUGAAGGAUUAAGGUCCUCUGGAUUGUAAACUUCUUUUAUAAGGGACGAAAAAAGGCUUUUCUAAGUCGUCUGACGGUACCUUAUGAAUAAGCACCGGCUAACUCCGUGCCAGCAGCCGCGGUAAUACGGAGGGUGCAAGCGUUAUCCGGAUUCACUGGGUUUAAAGGGUGCGUAGGCGGGCAGGUAAGUCAGUGGUGAAAUCCUAGAGCUUAACUAUAGAACUGCCAUUGAUACUAUCUGUCUUGAAUAUUGUGGAGGUAAACGGAAUAUGUCAUGUAGCGGUGAAAUGCUUAGAUAUGACAUAGAACACCUAUUGCGAAGGCAGCUUACUACGCAUAUAUUGACGCUGAGGCACGAAAGCGUGGGGAUCAAACAGGAUUAGAUACCCCUGUAGUCC
Molecule: ribosomal RNA, 445 nt
Filed under: uncultured bacterium
Lineage: Bacteria
Description: partial 16S ribosomal RNA
Rfam family: Bacterial small subunit ribosomal RNA
Source: RNAcentral